Molecule: transfer RNA, 72 nt
Filed under: Heterocephalus glaber (naked mole-rat)
Lineage: Eukaryota; Metazoa; Chordata; Mammalia; Rodentia; Bathyergidae
Rfam family: tRNA
About the family: Transfer RNA (tRNA) molecules are approximately 80 nucleotides in length. Their secondary structure includes four short double-helical elements and three loops (D, anti-codon, and T loops).
Source: Rfam by way of RNAcentral
GGGGAUGUAGCUCAGUGGCACAGCACCUGCCUGGCAAGCGAGAGGUCCUGAGUUCAAUCCUGGGCACCCCCC